GAUGAAGAACGCAGCGAAAUGCGAUAAGUAGUGUGAAUUGCAGAAUUCAGUGAAUCAUCGAAUCUUUGAACGCACAUUGCGCCCUUUGGUAUUCCUUAGGGCAUGCCUGUUUGAGCGUCAUUUCAACCCUCAAGCCCUGCUUGGUGUUGGGCGUUUGUCCUGCCUCCGCGCGGGACUCGCCUCAAAGACAUUGGCGGCCGGUUUCCCUUUGCAGGCCACGAGCGCAGCACAGCGAGCGCUCUACGUGGACGCGGGGUCGGCGCACCAGAAGCCCUCUUUCUCGAAUUUUGACCUCGGAUCAGGUAGGGAUACCCGCUGAACUUAAGCAUAUCAAUAAGCGGAGGA
RNAcentral lists this unclassified non-coding RNA (345 nucleotides) under soil metagenome. RNAcentral describes it as "partial contains 5.8S ribosomal RNA, internal transcribed spacer 2, and large subunit ribosomal RNA". The stretch from base 1 to 120 matches the Rfam family "5.8S ribosomal RNA", at positions 35 to 154 of the family's 154-position model. The record is from RNAcentral.